UUACUGCUAAUGGAUAAUCAUUCCAGUCACCUUGAAUUUCCAUGUGUGAAAUUUGCAAAAGAAAACUCGAUAAUUUUGCUAACAUUUUCCCCCGCAUUGUUCGCACAAACUCCAACCUCUUGACGUUGCAGUUUAUUUCCCAUUCAAGCGGGCAUUGAGACACAGCCACAAUGAGUGGUUACAAUCUAAUCCUGGUAAACGCAUUGGAAUAAAAGAUAUUGCUGGUCUUACACAAGUUCCGUUUAUCACCAAAAUUGUCGCCGAAAACAUCAUUGCAGGAUUUAAGAAAUCAGGAAUUUGGCCGUUUAAUAGAAAUGCUAUUCCAUCGUCUCAAUUCACUCCUAGUCGAGUAACGGAUAGACCAGAUCCAACUCAGCAUACAAACACCACUGAAGACGUCGCAGAUUAGGCUUUCGCUGGUUCAUCAAUUGAGAGCAACAACGUAAAUUCCACAAUCGGUGAUGAUGUGACACUGGAGAGCAUUCGACCUUUUCCAAAGGUGAUACCAUCCACGGGUUCACGCAGGCCGUCUAGUAGAUUAGGAAGUACACGGAUCUUGACAGAUUCACCCGAAACCAACAAGAUUGAAGAAGAUUACAUGAGGAAAAAAGAGAAGGAGAACAAGAAAGAUGCAGUUAAACGACGUUUACUUCCAUUGAAGGAAAACAACCAACACCAAAGUAACAUUCCUGCUACACGCCCUACAGUUAAACGCAGGAUCCAACGUGAAAACAAGAUCAACGAGGAUAAGGCAGACAAAGAAAACAUCCAAGACCAUUCCGAUACCGAGGAAGGACCUUCAUCGACUCGUUCAAGAUUCGGUCGUGUUAUCAAGCCUACCCUGAAACACAACGUGUGAAGAAUUUUGAAACACAACGAGUAAUAUAUCCAUUCAUUUCAG
Daphnia magna is the source of this 901-nucleotide long non-coding RNA. RefSeq lists it as uncharacterized. NCBI's taxonomy places the organism in Eukaryota, Metazoa, Arthropoda, Branchiopoda, Diplostraca, Daphniidae. The record is from RefSeq and is a predicted model, not a curated record. The transcript is spliced from 3 exons.